AAACCCUAAUAUCUACAACCUCCGCCGGAAGAAGUCUACUCAUCUCCACAAGAUCUUAUCCAGAUUUCUUCUAUUUUGCUGGCCAUUUGGUUUCCAGUCGUUCAAAUCUAAGAUGGAGGUUUGGACGUUUGAAGAAAUACAUAAUGCCUUAAAUUAUGCUUCUCAAAACCAUGGAAAGCACAACUAGCUAGGGAAAGCAAAGGUAAUUGCAUUAUGGAGUUAUAAUUUGCUACUACUUUUAGGUCUUGAAUGAGUAGCAUAGCAAUGUGUACUAUUUACCCCAUGUCUACUCAAGUGAUGGCUACACUGCUCAAGAGCAUAUCAUUGAAGGGAUAGGGUUAAUGACAAAUAUGAAGAGGGUCGUGACAUAAGUCAUCUUUUUGAAUUCAUGUUUGGGAAUAUUGAUGGUUUUGGUGAUCUUGAUAUUGAUAACCUUGAUGAGAAGAGGAGCGUCUUGCUACCCUAGCUUAUAUACUUGGAUCAUAUUUUAACAUAUAUGAUGUACACAACUACCAUCUCCUUGAUAUAUUUUUAUACUAUAUAUAGUUUUCUUAGACAAUUAUGAUAAUAAUAUAUUGAAUUCAUGACUUUGAACUUGUAAGACAAUGAUUUGGUUAUGUAGAUUAUAAGUGGAUACUGAUUGAACAAUACGAGGAAUGAGAAAUCCAAGCGUUGACCGAGGAAGACUAUCUCAUACCAAAAUCCGAUUAUGUUUCUACAACAGUAACUUCAUCGUUAGUUACAUCAUCUACAUUGUUUUGAUGAUGAAAAUUAUGAUGAAGAAGAAUUACUGAACAAAUUACGUGUGAUGUGAUAUGUGAUGUGAUAUGUAAUGUCAUUUAUAUUUCGAUUAUUUAUAAUGUUAUAACAUAUCUAAUU
Molecule: long non-coding RNA, 879 nt
Filed under: Helianthus annuus (common sunflower)
Lineage: Eukaryota; Viridiplantae; Streptophyta; Magnoliopsida; Asterales; Asteraceae
Source: RNAcentral